ACAACUACAUUGGGCAUGUGGUCAGCAAGCAUGUUGGAUAUGUGGGUGGCACUUUUCUGCCUGGCACUCUGGUUGACAUAUACUGAUGGUCAGAAGGUCCUGACACAGCCUGGUGUUAUGUCUGUGAGUCCUGGGCAAACAGCUUCCUUGGACUGCAACAUUCAGAAAGAUGAGGGCAACUAUGUAGGCUGGCAGAAGCAGGUGCCAGGCAGUCCCCCUCAGUUUAUUUUACGUUUCUUCCGCUCUCACAGCGCUCCUGACUUAUAUGGCACUGGUUUCUCUUCCAGUCGGUUCACAUCAAAAGCCAGCAGCAAAACUGAUUAUCAGUUAAUAAUCAGUAAUGUGGAGGCUUCAGACAGCGCUGUGUAUUACUGUCAAACCUGGGACAGCUCUGCUAGUGCUGGGUAUCACAGUGAUAAAUAG
This is a non-coding RNA of Polypterus senegalus (gray bichir), 423 nucleotides long. The record is from the annotation of a RefSeq genome assembly. NCBI's taxonomy places the organism in Eukaryota, Metazoa, Chordata, Cladistia, Polypteriformes, Polypteridae.